RNAcentral lists this ribosomal RNA (670 nucleotides) under Proteus mirabilis. RNAcentral describes it as "bacterial SSU rRNA". It matches the Rfam family "Bacterial small subunit ribosomal RNA", at positions 864 to 1533 of the family's 1533-position model. The record is from RNAcentral. Lineage: Bacteria; Pseudomonadati; Pseudomonadota; Gammaproteobacteria; Enterobacterales; Morganellaceae.
AUCGACCGCCUGGGGAGUACGGCCGCAAGGUUAAAACUCAAAUGAAUUGACGGGGGCCCGCACAAGCGGUGGAGCAUGUGGUUUAAUUCGAUGCAACGCGAAGAACCUUACCUACUCUUGACAUCCAGCGAAUCCUUUAGAGAUAGAGGAGUGCCUUCGGGAACGCUGAGACAGGUGCUGCAUGGCUGUCGUCAGCUCGUGUUGUGAAAUGUUGGGUUAAGUCCCGCAACGAGCGCAACCCUUAUCCUUUGUUGCCAGCACGUAAUGGUGGGAACUCAAAGGAGACUGCCGGUGAUAAACCGGAGGAAGGUGGGGAUGACGUCAAGUCAUCAUGGCCCUUACGAGUAGGGCUACACACGUGCUACAAUGGCAGAUACAAAGAGAAGCGACCUCGCGAGAGCAAGCGGAACUCAUAAAGUCUGUCGUAGUCCGGAUUGGAGUCUGCAACUCGACUCCAUGAAGUCGGAAUCGCUAGUAAUCGUAGAUCAGAAUGCUACGGUGAAUACGUUCCCGGGCCUUGUACACACCGCCCGUCACACCAUGGGAGUGGGUUGCAAAAGAAGUAGGUAGCUUAACCUUCGGGAGGGCGCUUACCACUUUGUGAUUCAUGACUGGGGUGAAGUCGUAACAAGGUAACCGUAGGGGAACCUGCGGUUGGAUCACCUCCUUA